UGCGUUGGUCGGUGUCGUUGGUCCGUUCUGUGCCUAGUUUACUAGAGAGAGGGACCCGUUCCUUGUUUCGGCAUGAAAGAGGAGAGGGGGAAGAUGAUUAUGGUCCGGUUCAAGUGUGACCAUGUGUUGUUUUUGCUCAACAUUGGCAGCCAUGCAACCAUGGAAGAAGGAAGGAUUUAGAGGAAAAAUCAAUCAAUCGAGCAUGAGUCAAGAGUCAUGUGUGGCCCGGGUGGAGUCAGUGGGGUGUACAAUUGCAAACCUCAUUUUAUGUUGAACUGCCAUUCUGGACUCAUUUUGCUUUCUCUCUCUGGCUGUAGAAACUUCACCCAUUGUAUAUUCUCUCCUAGUGGCGCAGCUGCUAUCCAUCCAUCCAUCCUCUUGAGUUAUCUGCCUUCCCUGGCUGGCCUGAUGGAGAGCAUACCAGCAGUCAGUUUGCUGAAUAAGAUGCUGUCUUCUCCAUUGCGAAAUCGUAUCCAUCCAUCCAUCCUCUUGAGUUAUCUGCCUUCCCUGGCUGGCCCGACGGGAAGAAACUAUACCAAAACUCAGUUUACCGAGUCUUUUUUUUUCCUUUUUCUGUUGUGAAAAUCGACUGUCUGCUAUUUGUUGGAGAGAGUUUAUGGGCAUUGGAAAAUUUUCUGCCAUAACAGUAAAAC
RNAcentral lists this long non-coding RNA (653 nucleotides) under Triticum aestivum (bread wheat). RNAcentral describes it as "long non-coding RNA (TAES_LNC002088)". Lineage: Eukaryota; Viridiplantae; Streptophyta; Magnoliopsida; Poales; Poaceae. The record is from RNAcentral.